AUUGAACGCUGGCGGCAUGCCUUACACAUGCAAGUCGAACGGUAACAGGUCUUCGGAUGCUGACGAGUGGCGCACGGGUGAGUAAUACAUCGGAACGUGCCCGAUCGUGGGGGAUAACGAGGCGAAAGCUUUGCUAAUACCGCAUACGAUCUACGGAUGAAAGCGGGGGAUCUUCGGACCUCGCGCGGACGGAGCGGCCGAUGGCAGAUUAGGUAGUUGGUGGGAUAAAAGCUUACCAAGCCGACGAUCUGUAGCUGGUCUGAGAGGAUGAUCAGCCACACUGGGACUGAGACACGGCCCAGACUCCUACGGGAGGCAGCAGUGGGGAAUUUUGGACAAUGGGCGAAAGUCUGAUCCAGCCAUGCCGCGUGCAGGAUGAAGGCCUUCGGGUUGUAAACUGCUUUUGUACGGAACGAAAAGCCUCUUUCUAAUAAAGAGGGGUCAUGACGGUACCGUAAGAAUAAGCACCGGCUAACUACGUG
Molecule: ribosomal RNA, 482 nt
Filed under: uncultured bacterium
Lineage: Bacteria
Description: partial 16S ribosomal RNA
Rfam family: Bacterial small subunit ribosomal RNA
Source: RNAcentral